Small nuclear RNA from Hevea brasiliensis (rubber tree), 104 nucleotides. NCBI's taxonomy places the organism in Eukaryota, Viridiplantae, Streptophyta, Magnoliopsida, Malpighiales, Euphorbiaceae. The record is from RefSeq and is a predicted model, not a curated record.
AUCAAAUUUUUAGUUAAUAUAAAAAAUUGAAACGAUACAGAGAAGAUUAGUAUGGCUCCUGCGCAAGGAUGAUAUGCACAAAUCGAGAAAUUGUCCAAAUUUUA